UCUGUUUUAAAUUCACCAAUAAAGAGUAAGCCCUCAAAAUCCUAGGCCCCCACCCCCAUAAAAGCAGGACCCAGGCCUGUGCACUCUCUCUCUAUCCUCACGGCCUUGCUAUGUGGCCCCCGGUGUGCUGUGCAACUUCCAGGUCUGCCCCCCAGUACAUAGUUGCAUAUUCUUCGUUGUGGGUCCUUCCAGUUGUAGCAUGUGGGACGCCACCUCAGUGUGGCUCAAUGAGCAGCGCCAUGUCCAUGCCCAGGAUUCGAACCAAUGAAACACUGGGCCGCCUGCAGCGGAGCACGUGAACUCAACCACUCAGCCACCGGCCCAGCCCUGAUGGCUAGGCUAUUUUUGAUUCUAUAUUUUAGAUGUAUAAAAUGAUGUUUAAUAUUAUGGCAAGAAAAUCCAUAUCCUUUUGUUAGGAAAAAUGAUGCUGGAAAUUUUCAGCGGAGACAGCAUUCCCUUCCCAAAGCUGAGAAGCAGAGAUUGUUACAACUUUCCCACAAUGUUUUACUUAAACGUAUAAACACACACAACUUGAGUAAAGAACAAUCCCAGGAGGCUUGUGGAAAGGAGGUCAAAGUUAACUUUUUCGUAUUUCAACAGCCCAGAACAAACAAAACACCCACAUCAUCAUCUUCAUCCUAAUCGCUAAAAUUCAGAGCCGUUAAUUAUGUUUGGGAUUUGGAGAGAAGUCCUGGGGGUUUUGUCAUGAGGUCAUUUUAAAUGUCAUCCUGGAAGAAUUAAGAGUCUGUCUUAUCAGCAUCUGCAAGCAUGAGACAAUCAGGAAAGGAUGAGGAAAGAUAAAAGCCAAGAACUGAAGACAUACAGACACAGCGUGCAAGCAUCUUCUGAAAGAGGAAGGGACAUACACGAUGUGAAGAAGUACGAACAAGAUUCCCACAGACCAUCCAGCAAUUAUAUCGUCUAGUUAGAUUUCAAGAUUGUAAUUUUGUUUCCCGCUUUUUUGUUCCCACACUUUUUCCUGCACAUUCUUUUCACAGCUUAGAAUAGCUAUUUUUUUCAACUUUACUGAAGUAUAGCUGAUAAAUAAAACCGUAAGAUAUUUAAACUGUGCAUGAUGGUGAUACGAUCUAUGUAUACGUUGUGAAGGUGUUCCCCCAUCUAGUUCAUUAACACAUCCAUCGCCUCACAUAUUUACCUUUUUUUUUUGGUGAGAACAUUUAAGUAAGUUCUCUUGUCUUAAUAAAUUUCAAUUAUAUAAUACAGUGUUAUUAAUUAUAGUCACCAUGUUUUACAUGAGAUGCUCAGAACUUAUUCAUCUCAUAGCUCAAAAUUUGUACCCUUUACCAACCUCUCCUUAUUUCCCCUACACCCCAACCCUUGGCAACCACUUUUCUACUCUGUGUUUCUGUGAGAUUGCUCUUUUUUUUCUAAGAUCCCACAUAUAAGUGAUACCAUGCAGUAUUUGUCUUUCUCUGUCUGGCUUAUCUCCCUCAGCAUAAUGCUUUCAAGUUCUAUCCAUGUUGUCGCAAAUGGCAGGAUUUCCUUCUUUCUCGUGGCUGAAUAAUAUGCCAUUGCAUCUACAUACGACACCUUCUCUAUGAUUCACCCACUGGCAGACACUCGGGUUGUUUCUCUUUCUUGACUAUUGUGAGUAAUGCUGCAGUGAAUAUGGCAGUGCGGGUAUCUCUUCCAUAUCCUGUUUUCAUUUCCUUCAGAUGUUUACCCAGAAGUGGGAUUGCUGGAUCAUAUGGUAGUUCUAUCUGUAAUCUUUUGAGGAAGCUCCCUACUGUUUUCCAUAGUGGCUGCACCAAAUUACAUUCCCACUGAGAGUAGUUAUUUUUUGACAUUUUGACUUCAAACAAUGGGUCAGCGAAAAAUCCCCAGAAAGUCCCCCACGUGGCUUACUUUACUUCUCCAGCUGUGGGGACUCCAUUUUGGGUCUCCUCUACCUUUCCAGUCACCUUCACCUGAGUGCCCCUGUCAGUUGCCCCCUCCCUGGCCACGCCCCUCCACGCUCGGUGACCAACUUCUAGGGGAGCAGUGGGUAGACGCCCUGGAGUCCUGGUCUGUUGCCCUCAUUAGCUCAGUCUUGUUCUCCUGGCUCCACCUCUUCCCAGCACCUCUUCACUCCCGACGUUACGAUCAUUAACCGUGCUACCCCUGAAACAUUGACUUCAUGUCACCCGACUCUGAUAUCACCUCCUUUCAUUCGGGGCCACUUCCUCUUAUACUCCUACUUCCAGAAUUCCCUGAGCUUAAUGAGACCUCUCCCCAAAGUGACCUUUAUACUACCUCACUUCCUGAUUUAUCCGGUUCAGAUCCUCAGCACUCGACACCCCUGUGAGGGUCUAAUACUGGCCCAAUAAAUUUGGCAUCUCAAGAGAAAUCGGUGAUCUCACACUCGUGAAAAGCAGGACUUUGCAACUUGGUCUCAGGGUGGGAGAGUGUCAGCAUGUCAAUGUGACGGGUGACAAAGAUGCCAAAGAUGCAGACAGGCUGGAUGCUUCCCAGCUGAGUGGCCGUCAGGUAGAUGUGCCAACACACAGACAUUGAUGGGAAAGGAAUCACACAGAAGACUCCAAAGCCCUGGGUUGAUUUAAUACUGCCACUUUGUUGUGAAUAACGAAGGCAUUCAUUUGAGAGAGAAAG
RNAcentral lists this long non-coding RNA (2610 nucleotides) under Equus caballus (horse). Its description in RNAcentral is "lncRNA (ENSECAG00000051524.1)". Lineage: Eukaryota; Metazoa; Chordata; Mammalia; Perissodactyla; Equidae. The record is from RNAcentral.